This is a long non-coding RNA of Rhododendron vialii, 4016 nucleotides long. RefSeq lists it as uncharacterized. NCBI's taxonomy places the organism in Eukaryota, Viridiplantae, Streptophyta, Magnoliopsida, Ericales, Ericaceae. The transcript has 4 exons. The record is from RefSeq and is a predicted model, not a curated record.
GGUUGUCCUGUGGGUGUUUCUUUAGGGCCUGGAUGUUCAUCAAUUGCAUAUGGGAUGACUGAAGAACUUGGACCUUUUUCACAUUGAGAAAGACGAGAAGACUCUUUAUUUGAACCCUUAUGCUUGGAACCAAGGUAUGUAGGCUCCAAUGAUUUCUCGUUCUCAUAUAUAACAAAACACAGCAGCAUAAGUAGUGAAUAUGAUAUCUGCUCUCUUAUGAUCUAUGGGCCUGAUGAAUACUGCAUAAGUUCAAAAUCUGUAGGUUAAGCAAUAGGUUGCUAAAGGAACUGUGUGCUAAAUUCGUGCACUGAAAGUUGAAGUGGCUUGAGGUUUCAAUUGAACUGUGGUGAAAUCUGCGGACACCAUGUUCCACAGUAAGCCAAGCCAUAUCAAGGUACAACUCAGUAGGAAAUGAAAAAACAACAAACUUGAAGGGAUACAUGGUUGGAAAUGCUUUAGCGGAUGAUUAUCAUGACCAUUUGAGGCUUGUUCGAGUUUAUGUGGUCUGCUGGCAUGAUUUCCGAUGAGUCAUAUAAGCAGUUGAAUCUUUUAUGCGAUUCCCUGUCAUUUAUCCAUCCCUCUGGACAGUUUGAUAAGACUCUGGAUAUGGCUUCUGAGGAACAUGGAGAAAUUGAUCCAUAUAGCAUCCUUACUCCUCUGUGCCCUGCUACUUCUAGCUUGUCAAGUCAGCAAAAGAAGAGAUGGCACAUGGUUGGUUGCAUUGGACGGACAUACCAUCCAUGCACGCACCGAGAAGCAUUCAGUUGUCUACUUCAAUCAACCUGAGGUUCCAAAGGCACUUCAUGUUCACAGUGAAAAGGCACUAUCUAAAUGGGAUAUAUAACUGCAGGUAGAUUUUCUUAAUUACGUAAAUUUUCGAUUACAUCUAAGCUAGUUUUUUUGUGGACAACAUUAUGUUGUCUGGUUACAAUGCUUUCUGAUGAUUCGAUUAGUAAUUCCUACUUCCAUUUAGUGGAGCUUGAUGUUCAUCUGCUAACAAUAUCUAAUCAGUUUUAGUAAGAUCUUUAUGAUAUAGAACAAAGAUUUAUAUCAAAGGAGGAUGACUUGAAACCACCUGUCUUGAGCAGACCAUUAGAACUUAACAUGUUUGGGAAGAACAAUAUAUAGAACCCAACAAUCUAAUUAGCUCCCAUAUGGUGAUAUGCGGAUGGUAUUUUAAUCCAACAAACAGAUUAUGUCCACAACACUUGUAUUAUGCUACCGGGCUUGAAAUUUUCAUGUCCCUUGCGUGAUGUGUAAAUUUCAUAUUAUAUCUAGUACAUACCAAGUACCAAAUUCUUUUCCUUUGGUGAGUCUACAUUCACACAAAAUCCCGCACGAAUCCAGUUAUUAUCUAGUGCAAUGGGAGAAUUGUUGGUUAUCGGCAUCUUGUUGAGUAAUUAAUGAGGUCUCACUGAUCAAGUUGCACACUGAUCUAUGGUUGCAUCAUCCCCGAGGUGGGCAAAUUAAGUUCAUGAAGAACUGGAUUGUUGCUUGAUUUUACUAGGUACCAGUGAUUCGAUACAUCGACUAGUGAUAAUUUUAUCUUGGCAUUCAGUGCACCGUAGCUACAACAUAGCCAUUGUCCAGGGCAGAGAUGAAGGGCAGAUACGAGCGAUCCAUCAAAAUAUAGGGGGUAAUUCAUUAGUGAGUAUUCAUGCUUUAAAACUCCACACCAGACCAGAUGUGUUUCAGGAUCUACAAGGAUCCUUUACUUAUGGAAUCAUAUUGUGUAACUGUCACCAAUUGGCAAUGAGGGGAUAGGCCGUCCAGGCUUAUAUGCUAGUUUGGGAGGUUAUAAUUAACCCAUGCGGGACAAGCUCUAACAACUUUAAUAUGGGAUAGUCAGCCUUCUCUAUUGUGAGGGUCAUUUUAUUUGAUUACUCCAUGAGAGGGUAGUUAAUUUUCUUGUGCAUGAAGUUCCCCAUCUACUCCUCUCUUGGAGUCAUGAGAAUUGACACGGUUAUAGAGCAGAUGUGUUUAGAGUCGUCCAAUGCACAUGGACCCCAUAAGAUGCACGCGAGAUCUACACUGCACAUAUCAAACGGCUCCAAACGUAUCUCUGUUUUAGAUAUAUGUGUCCCAACCAUUUGCCUAAGGUCAUACAAGCAGCCACAUUAAACAGAAACUCAUAUGUGGUCCCGAUAGAAAUAGCUGAGUUGCUGCAUUAAGAUUAGUGUAUAGUAUACAUGUACCACUAUAUAUCAACAAAGUUGAGGGAAAUCAGGCGGAAACAUAUUGAUGCAAUCCUGCGCACCUGCAACUUAAUCAGUUCAUGGUAUGCCGCAAGGCAUAAUGGUGUAUCUCGGAAAACUACGUAAUACGAGCACACACACACGCACAAAUAAAACUUACUUUUUCAAGUAUUUUUUCACAUAUUGAUUGCUCAUCCAUUUUAGGAAGAAAACAGAGGAGUGAGAGAUAGUUGUAGGCUUGUAGCACGUCGAAUCCUACUUUUUCUUUCUGCGAUGAAUGGUUUAAAGAAUAGCAGCAGGGACUUUUAGUUGUGUGUGUGUGUGUGUGUGUGUGUGAGAGAGAGAGAGAGAGAGAGAGAGAGAGAGAGAGAGAGAGAGAGAGACCAUAUCCCUUUGGAGAUCCUAUAGGUGAGAGCUGGUAAGGAGAGGAGAAGAUCGUUCUUUUCCCUCAACUCUUCACUUACAAUAAUUUUUGUUGAUCUGCUGUUCUUGACUAUUUCAUCAACCUCAUAUCAUCCAGAAUCAAGAUCCUCAUGCGAUCAUCCUUGUCAAAUUUCUCAUGUGACACAUUAGGGAAUUCAUCACGAUAUUCAAGCCGUUCAGUUUUUAGCCUUGGAUGUAUUUGUCAUUUGUGCACAAAAUGAUUAUGAUUGGAUACUGAUAAAAAAUCGAUCGAGUGCACCAGAUAGGGUAGGAAAUUAUGUUCAGCAUGUGCAAAUUAUGUUUUGUACUAAAAGAGAAGAAGCCUUCAAUUGAGAUUAGUCUGUAAUGAAAUGUGAGAAGUGAAUGUCAAAUAGAUGGGAGAAGAAAAUUAGGGUGACAGCUUUUUUCUCUUCACCGUAGUAUUUUUUAGUAGUUAGAAGGGUAGUUUAGGAAAUUAAAAGUGAGAGCCGGCUUCAUAAUUGCCAUUGCCGUUGCCACUGAGGAGGGUGUUCCCUUUAUUUUACGUAUAUACAUACACACACGGAAUACAUUAUUAUAAAUUUUACUAUGUCAUAAGGAGUAUAUGAUUGUCACGUACUAACUAAAACAUGAUUGAGGUUAUCUUAGCUAAGGUAGUUACCAGGCCAUGCCCAUCAAAGAUAUUGUAUAUAUAUAUAUAUUUAGAUAAACACUAGCAAAGAACACUAUAAUUCCUACCUAAACCUAUUUAAACAACUAUGAUGACAUUCAACUGGAAUCUGAAUUAAGGGCUAGAUUGGAUAAGGAUCGACUUUUUUUCCAUUUAUGACCAUAACCAGGAAAUAUAUAGCCCAUCCGCUCUGCCACUGUUCGGGCAAACAAAUAAGCCAGUAAACUUAUUUAUUUGUGAUGUGAUACUAUUAAAUGUCCUGUGGGUAUUUAAUCUGGGUUAAAAUAUGAUUAUAUCCAGCCAAACAAACGAGCGCAUAAUAUUUUCUUCAUGUAUAUAUAUUGCUAUUUAUUUAGUUACAGUAAUGUUUGAUGAAGCUUCUUUUUCUUUUUUUGGUGGGGGGAGGGGGAAGUAGUUUCAUUUCACCAAAAAUGCGCAAAAGCUACAAAAUCAACGGGGCUUCCCCCUGAACAACUCAUUACAAGCACCAAACAGACCUAUACAGAUUGGAAACAACCAAACAAAAGCAGGACCCUUUUGACAAUUGCUAAGCCUAAAGCUCUAGAAUCAAGUAUCCACUCAUCACAAAUUAAAAUCCCUAUUAAUAGGAGAAAACUUGACAGAAGUCAAUGAACUGAGUUUGGCCCGGAUCGAGUCGAAAAUUGCAGAAGCUAACCCAUACACAUCCUUGUUUUUAUUCUGGGAAAACAUAAUUCGCAUGCCUGAAGGAAGAGCUUUCAAUAGAGGAU